AGGACGAACGCUGGCGGCGUGCUUAACACAUGCAAGUCACGGGGGUCCCGCAAGGGAUAACCGGCGAACGGGUGCGUAACACGUGAGCGACCUGCCUUUCUGCGGGGGAUAGCCGGCCCAACGGCCGGGUAAUACCGCAUACGCUUCCUUUGGGGCAUCCCGAGGGAAGGAAACCUCCGGGGCGGAGAGAGGGGCUCGCGGCCUAUCAGCUAGUUGGCGAGGUAACGGCUCACCAAGGCGGCGACGGGUAGCU
RNAcentral lists this ribosomal RNA (253 nucleotides) under uncultured soil bacterium. RNAcentral describes it as "partial 16S ribosomal RNA". It matches the Rfam family "Bacterial small subunit ribosomal RNA", at positions 26 to 288 of the family's 1533-position model. The record is from RNAcentral.